This 1403-nucleotide ribosomal RNA is filed under the name Salmonella enterica. RNAcentral describes it as "partial 23S ribosomal RNA". It matches the Rfam family "Bacterial large subunit ribosomal RNA", at positions 1538 to 2915 of the family's 2925-position model. The record is from RNAcentral. Lineage: Bacteria; Pseudomonadati; Pseudomonadota; Gammaproteobacteria; Enterobacterales; Enterobacteriaceae.
AAAUCCGGUUCACUUUAACACUGAGGCGUGACGACGAGGCACUACGGUGCUGAAGCAACAAAUGCCCUGCUUCCAGGAAAAGCCUCUAAGCAUCAGGUAACAUCAAAUCGUACCCCAAACCGACACAGGUGGUCAGGUAGAGAAUACCAAGGCGCUUGAGAGAACUCGGGUGAAGGAACUAGGCAAAAUGGUGCCGUAACUUCGGGAGAAGGCACGCUGACACGUAGGUGAAGUGAUUUACUCAUGGAGCUGAAGUCAGUCGAAGAUACCAGCUGGCUGCAACUGUUUAUUAAAAACACAGCACUGUGCAAACACGAAAGUGGACGUAUACGGUGUGACGCCUGCCCGGUGCCGGAAGGUUAAUUGAUGGGGUCAGCGCAAGCGAAGCUCCUGAUCGAAGCCCCGGUAAACGGCGGCCGUAACUAUAACGGUCCUAAGGUAGCGAAAUUCCUUGUCGGGUAAGUUCCGACCUGCACGAAUGGCGUAAUGAUGGCCAGGCUGUCUCCACCCGAGACUCAGUGAAAUUGAACUCGCUGUGAAGAUGCAGUGUACCCGCGGCAAGACGGAAAGACCCCGUGAACCUUUACUAUAGCUUGACACUGAACAUUGAGCCUUGAUGUGUAGGAUAGGUGGGAGGCUUUGAAGUGUGGACGCCAGUCUGCAUGGAGCCGACCUUGAAAUACCACCCUUUAAUGUUUGAUGUUCUAACGUGGACCCGUUACCCGGGUUGCGGACAGUGUCUGGUGGGUAGUUUGACUGGGGCGGUCUCCUCCUAAAGAGUAACGGAGGAGCACGAAGGUUGGCUAAUCCUGGUCGGACAUCAGGAGGUUAGUGCAAUGGCAUAAGCCAGCUUGACUGCGAGCGUGACGGCGCGAGCAGGUGCGAAAGCAGGUCAUAGUGAUCCGGUGGUUCUGAAUGGAAGGGCCAUCGCUCAACGGAUAAAAGGUACUCCGGGGAUAACAGGCUGAUACCGCCCAAGAGUUCAUAUCGACGGCGGUGUUUGGCACCUCGAUGUCGGCUCAUCACAUCCUGGGGCUGAAGUAGGUCCCAAGGGUAUGGCUGUUCGCCAUUUAAAGUGGUACGCGAGCUGGGUUUAGAACGUCGUGAGACAGUUCGGUCCCUAUCUGCCGUGGGCGCUGGAGAACUGAGGGGGGCUGCUCCUAGUACGAGAGGACCGGAGUGGACGCAUCACUGGUGUUCGGGUUGUCAUGCCAAUGGCACUGCCCGGUAGCUAAAUGCGGAAGAGAUAAGUGCUGAAAGCAUCUAAGCACGAAACUUGCCCCGAGAUGAGUUCUCCCUGAGACUUAAAGUCUCCUGAAGGAACGUUGAAGACGACGACGUUGAUAGGCCGGGUGUGUAAGCGCAGCGAUGCGUUGAGCUAACCGGUACUAAUGAACCGUGAG